GAAAUGCAAUAAAUAAUAUAAAUUAUAGAAUUUAGUAAAUCAUCAAAUCUUUAAACGUAUAUUACGCCCUUUGGUAUUCUAUAGGGUAUGCCUAUUCGAGCGUUAUCUACAUCCUUAAGCUUUACUUAGUAUUGGGCGUCUGUCCCGCCUUCGCGCGUGGACUCGCCCUAAAUAUAUUAGUAGUAGUCCUUAUUUCCUCUCGCGCAGCAUAUUGCGCUUCUUGAGGCUGUGGCGGUCUAUAUUUAAUAAGCUAAACCCCCCUAUCUUUAACCUUGGAUUAGGUAGGGAUACCCGCUGAACUUAAGC
Molecule: unclassified non-coding RNA, 306 nt
Filed under: plant metagenome
Description: partial contains 5.8S ribosomal RNA, internal transcribed spacer 2, and large subunit ribosomal RNA
Rfam family: 5.8S ribosomal RNA (bases 1-105)
Source: RNAcentral